GACGAACGCUGGCGGCGUGCCUAAUACAUGCAAGUCGAGCGCUGAAGGUUGGUCCUUGUACCAACUGGAUGAGCAGCGAACGGGUGAGUAACGCGUGGGGAAUCUGCCUUUGAGCGGGGGACAACAUUUGGAAACGAAUGCUAAUACCGCAUAAAAACUUUAAACACAAGUUUUAAGUUUGAAAGAUGCAAUUGCAUCACUCAAAGAUGAUCCCGCGUUGGAUUAGCUAGGUGGGGAGGUAAAGGCCCACCAAGGGGAAGAUACAUAGCCGGCCUGGGAGGGUGGACCGCCACAAUGGGACUGGGACACGGCCCAAGCUCCUACGGGGAGCAGCAGGAGGGGAACUUUGGCCAUGGAGGGAAGUCUGAACGAACAACGGCGGGUGGGGGGAGGAGGUUCUCGGGUCGUAAAACUCUGUUUGUAGGGGAGAACGUUAGUGAGAGUGGAAAGCUCAUCAAGUGACGGUAACUACCCAGAAAGCGACGGCUAACUACGUG
Molecule: ribosomal RNA, 497 nt
Filed under: uncultured bacterium
Lineage: Bacteria
Description: partial 16S ribosomal RNA
Rfam family: Bacterial small subunit ribosomal RNA
Source: RNAcentral